Molecule: ribosomal RNA, 219 nt
Filed under: uncultured bacterium
Lineage: Bacteria
Description: partial 16S ribosomal RNA
Rfam family: Bacterial small subunit ribosomal RNA
Source: RNAcentral
UAAUAUAUCGGAACGUACCCUGGAGUGGGGAUAACGUAGCGAAAGUUACGCUAAUACCGCAUACGAUCUAAGGAUGAAAGUGGGGGAUCGCAAGACCUCAUGCUCCUGGAGCGGCCGAUAUCUGAUUAGCUAGUUGGUGGGGUAAAGGCCCACCAAGGCUUUGAUCAGUAGCUGGUCUGAGAGGACGACCAGCCACACUGGAACUGAGACACGGUCCAG